Molecule: ribosomal RNA, 760 nt
Filed under: Coniferiporia sulphurascens
Lineage: Eukaryota; Fungi; Basidiomycota; Agaricomycetes; Hymenochaetales; Hymenochaetaceae
Description: partial small subunit ribosomal RNA
Rfam family: Bacterial small subunit ribosomal RNA
Source: RNAcentral
CUCGCAAGAGUGAACUAGCUAACUGAAAUCCUUGGUGUGUCAUCGAGGAUAACGUAAGGGAAAAGAUCAUAACCACGGGAGCCUUCCCCUCCUCUUUAGAUCGAAAGGUUUAGAGGGUAGAUGUUGGUGUGGUUUAUGAGGUGAUAUUACCUUACUAUUAGUGUCGUCCAAGUGCUCGUGCCAGAAGACUCGGUAAGGCGAGAGACGCAAACGUUAUUCGUCUUGAACAGGCGUAAAGGGUAAGUAGGCGGCUUUAAGCAUCUAAUUUUAAGUUUUACUGUUUUAAUGCUAAAUUAUAUACCUACUCUAGAAGUUAGGAUAGGUUUUCUUUUCAAUGAUAAAGAAUCAUACCACUCCACUCCCAACCACUCCUUCGUAAGAAAGAUGUAAUGGGUUGUGGUUUGGUUAUGAAAAUAACCUAUUAAUUUAGUAUUUUAAUAUUUAUUAAAGGAUCAAUUAAAGCUAGAAUCUAAAAGAGGUUAAAACAAUACUUAAGGUAGGUGUACCAACCAUAAAUAAUAAGCAGAGUAUUAAGGGCGAAGGCAUUUAUCCACUGAAGAUUGACGCUGAGGAACGAAGGUGAGGACAGAAAAAAGGAUUAGAGACCCUUGUAUCCCUCACUGUCAACGAUGAAUGGUAGUUACUAGAUAGAAAUAAUCUAGAGGCGAUGUUAACACGAAAACCAUUCCGCCUUGUGAGUACGACUGCAAAGUUGAAAACAAAAAAAUUAGUCGGUUUCGGAGCAAACGAAGUGAAGCAU